Molecule: ribosomal RNA, 506 nt
Filed under: uncultured bacterium
Lineage: Bacteria
Description: partial 16S ribosomal RNA
Rfam family: Bacterial small subunit ribosomal RNA
Source: RNAcentral
AGUAAACGCUGGCGGUAGGCCUAACACAUGCAAGUCGAACGGCAGCACAGAGGAGCUUGCUCCUUGGGUGGCGAGUGGCGGACGGGUGAGGAAUACAUCGGAAUCUACUCUGUCGUGGGGGAUAACGUAGGGAAACUUACGCUAAUACCGCAUACGACCUACGGGUGAAAGCAGGGGACCUUCGGGCCUUGCGCGAUUGAAUGAGCCGAUGUCGGAUUAGCUAGGUGGCGGGGUAAAGGCCCACCAAGGCGACGAUCCGUAGCUGGUCUGAGAGGAUGAUCAGCCACACUGGAACUGAGACGCGGUCCAGACUCCUACGGGAGGCAGAAGUGUGGAAUAUUGGACAAUGGGCGCAAGCCUGAUCCAGCCAUACCGCGUGGGUGAAGAAGGCCUUCGGGUUGUAAAGCCCUUUUGUUGGGAAAGAAAUCCAGCUGGCUAAUACCCGGUUGGGAUGACGGUACCCAAAGAAUAAGCACCGGCUAACUUCGUGCCAGCCGCCGCCGUAA